RNAcentral lists this ribosomal RNA (359 nucleotides) under uncultured bacterium. RNAcentral describes it as "bacterial SSU rRNA". It matches the Rfam family "Bacterial small subunit ribosomal RNA", at positions 537 to 896 of the family's 1533-position model. The record is from RNAcentral.
AGCGUUGUUCGGAGUUACUGGGCGUAAAGGGUGUSYAGGCRGUUGUUUAAGUUUGGUGUGAAAUCUCCCGGCUCAACUGGGAGGGUGCGCCGAAUACUGAAUGACUAGAGUGCGGGAGAGGAAAGUGGAAUUCCUGGUGUAGCGGUGAAAUGCGUAGAUAUCAGGAGGAACACCGGUGGUGUAGACGGCUUUCUGGACCGUAACUGACGCUGAGACACGAAAGCGUGGGUAGCAAACAGGAUUAGAUACCCUGGUAGUCCACGCCCUAAACGAUGCAUAUUUGGUGUGRGCAGUUCAUUCUGUCCGUGCCGGAGCUAACGCGUUAAAUAUGCCGCCUGGGGAGUACAGUCGCAAGGCUG